This 77-nucleotide transfer RNA is filed under the name Chloroflexi bacterium RBG_13_56_8. Its description in RNAcentral is "tRNA-Pro". It matches the Rfam family "tRNA". Rfam says of the family: Transfer RNA (tRNA) molecules are approximately 80 nucleotides in length. Their secondary structure includes four short double-helical elements and three loops (D, anti-codon, and T loops). Further hydrogen bonds mediate the characteristic L-shaped molecular structure. tRNAs have two regions of fundamental functional importance: the anti-codon, which is responsible for specific mRNA codon recognition, and the 3' end, to which the tRNAs corresponding amino acid is attached (by aminoacyl-tRNA synthetases). tRNAs cope with the degeneracy of the genetic code in two manners: having more than one tRNA (with a specific anti-codon) for a particular amino acid; and 'wobble' base-pairing, i.e. permitting non-standard base-pairing at the 3rd anti-codon position. Lineage: Bacteria; Bacillati; Chloroflexota. The record is from RNAcentral.
CGGGGCGUAGCGCAGCCAGGUAGCGCACUUGAAUGGGGUUCAAGUGGUCGGACGUUCAAAUCGUCUCGCCCCGACUA